UCGCCACACACUUAGCGGUGGGCGCACAUACAUUCGCAAAUUCGCAAGGAUUAUGACAUAGACCCAUGUAACAUGCUUCGUUCUCAAUGCAAUCAUUGUUCGACUGACAUGGUUCCGGAUUCUUUGGUGAGCCGGGUGAUUCUACUUGUUAGAGGAGUUAGAGAGUAUUAAUGCGUGUAUUGUUAUGCGUUUGGGCGCGUGUAAAGCUUCACGCCUUCAAAGAUGCUCCAAAAUGCGUCCAAAAAUCGUAAUUUGGUGUAAAUACAUACACAUAUGCAUAUACAUAUGUAGUAUUUAGUACCAACUGUGUUCAAAUUCAAAUUGAUGACCUCGAAAGCGUCCGCUCCCGCCUAAUGAGGCGCCAUUUAACCACUGUCUCUGCUUGAAGAGCGAAGAGCAUAAUACAAUAUGAGUACAAGCAAUAUCCAAAAAUGGCCGUUGGUUCGCUAUUAAGUCCACGUAGAAGCGGAGGAUCCAGUUCAGGUAUAUAGUGGUCCCCGCUAAACGUCUUUUUUGAGAGGAGCUCCUGGAGAUCAGCGGUAGCUUUGUUGCAAAUAAAUAUUUU
This is a long non-coding RNA of Bactrocera neohumeralis, 565 nucleotides long. RefSeq lists it as uncharacterized. The record is from RefSeq and is a predicted model, not a curated record. Lineage: Eukaryota; Metazoa; Arthropoda; Insecta; Diptera; Tephritidae. The transcript has 3 exons.